GACGAACGCUGGCGGCGUGCCUAAUACAUGCAAGUCGAACGCUUCUUUCCUCCCGAGUGCUUGCACUCAAUUGGAAAGAGGAGUGGCGGACGGGUGAGUAACACGUGGGUAACCUACCCAUCAGAGGGGGAUAACACUUGGAAACAGGUGCUAAUACCGCAUAACAGUUUAUGCCGCAUGGCAUAUGAGUGAAAGGCGCUUUCGGGUGUCGCUGAUGGAUGGACCCGCGGUGCAUUAGCUAGUUGGUGAGGUAACGGCUCACCAAGGCCACGAUGCAUAGCCGACCUGAGAGGGUGAUCGGCCACACUGGGACUGAGACACGGCCCAGACUCCUACGGGAGGCAGCAGUAGGGAAUCUUCGGCAAUGGACGAAAGUCUGACCGAGCAACGCCGCGUGAGUGAAGAAGGUUUUCGGAUCGUAAAACUCUGUUGUUAGAGAAGAACAAGGACGUUAGUAACUGAACGUCCCCUGACGGUAUCUAACCAGAAAGCCACGGCUAACUACGUG
This 508-nucleotide ribosomal RNA is filed under the name uncultured bacterium. Its description in RNAcentral is "partial 16S ribosomal RNA". It matches the Rfam family "Bacterial small subunit ribosomal RNA", at positions 28 to 507 of the family's 1533-position model. The record is from RNAcentral.